GACAAAUAAGGGACUAUAAUUACCUGUGUUGGCAAAAAAAAUUCCCUGCAUAAUACACAUUUUUGCUGCUCUAGUUGUAGUCUCUGAUUUUGGAUAUUGAGAAUUUUAGUUCAGAGGGAUGUUUAUAUUGCUAAGUGAUAUGUUGUUUUGUGUCAAAUAGCUCAAGAGAGUGUAUUCUAAAAGUUUGAUUGUUGGGCUGCAAUUUAACAAGGAUUUUGAAGGUUGUUAAUAUGUUUUUGUAUAAAUUUAGUAUUUUUUGUAUAAGAUGCAUUUAGUAUUUUC
Molecule: long non-coding RNA, 282 nt
Filed under: Cicer arietinum (chickpea)
Lineage: Eukaryota; Viridiplantae; Streptophyta; Magnoliopsida; Fabales; Fabaceae
Description: long non-coding RNA (CARI_LNC001493)
Source: RNAcentral